UCCAAAAUAGAUGACCCAACUCUAUACUAGCUUUGUACUAAAGUUAGAAUAAAGUUGAGUCAUCUAUUUUGAAACGAAGGGAGAAGGGUGUAGGUACGUGCAGCAACACGCAUCUGAUUACAUUGUUUACUCGUGCAUAUGUAGCAGAACGAGUCCACGACCGAAGACCAGCUUUCGCAACAGAAUUCCGACGCCCAUUAAACGCAUUAACGUGUGCAUGAAGGGCGGCUUCUCGCGCUAUACACGUCAUCACAAGGAGAUGAAAAGCGUUACGAUUGAGUGGGAGGGACUGGGACGCUCGCGGGCAGAAAGAGAGAGACAAAAAAAAAAUCAGGUUCCUCGCCUCUCACAUUCUCCCCCACGCCCGUGACCUCCUCUCGUUCCGCACGCCAACGUAGCCGCCGCCUCCUCGCCUCCGCCUCUUCCAUCACCCACGCCGGCCGAUUCCAGCGAGUCCUGGCGGCGAGUAGCACACCAACGACCUCCCAACACCUCGCUCCUUCCUCCCAUCCAUCCAGAUUCGUCGCUAGAAGCCUCCCGCGCUCGCUCCCGAGUCCCGACCCGCAGCCGUGGCUAGGGUUUCAGCGCGGCGUCCCCUUCGUGCCGGCGAGGUCCGGCGGCCUCCGGCGGCUCGUCUCCGUCGCCCUCCCCCUCCCCCCACCCCCACCCGCCACGUGUGGCUCCGCCUCGUGGACAGUCCUCCCGUGCCCGAUGGCUUCGGGCCGUACCUCCUCUCCAUUGAUUUGAUGCAGACGAGUGCCCAGUUCCCACAGCAACCAUGGCCUGACCUAGGGACAUCGCACAAUCCCCAGUUUUCCCAGGUCUAGCUCGUGGCUACGAGGCGGCGGCGACGGCGUUUCCAACACCUGCUACGCCGAUGUCAGCCACGGUGGCGCUGGCAACUCAGCCAUCAGGUGAGAGCGGUGAGAUAAGCAACCUCUGUUCGCUAGAGUAGGGCUAUGAGAAAAAGAUCAGAAGAGCACGGCCGUCGGGCAACGGCACACCGGCAGCGCGCAGACGGGCCUCCACGCCGCGGCCUCGGACCGAAAGAGUUCAUGGACGGUCUCACCGUCUCAGAAGGCAGAUCACGCGGCCGCCAUCCUGCACCCGUACACGGUUCAUGCCGCCGACGGCGAAGUUGUCAGAGAUGGCGCUUCGUGCUGUCCUCUGUAGUUUCUUCUGUCAUCUGCAGUUCAGUGCUUUGUGCUUGCACCUAUUAUGAACUAGAAUCUGUAAUUAUGUGCUAGCUCCCCUAGUGAUUGACAGUUCUUAUGUACGUGCUUGGUGCUCUGUAGAUUGUUUUUAUUCUAGAAUCUAGAUGUUCAGACUUCAGAACACUUGCUGACCCUGUAUGUACGUGCUUGGUGCUUGCUCCUGUAGUGAUUGAUAGUUCUGUGCUUGCUCCUGUAGUGAACAACAUGUACAUAAUGGAUGAAUUGUUAGCAGCACUUGUGUGGUCAGUUAAACAAAUUCUUCAUUUUUUGUUCUAUAUUUCAGUUAUGUUUGUUGUCACAAUUGUUAUCAGCACUUCAUACUGAAAAUGGCCUCUCCUUAUGCUUAAAUGCAUUGUUUAUAUUUCAGUUUCAGCUUGUCUAAAACUUUGCUUCUCUAGCCAUAUCUGAAAUUGAGGGUUUGUGUGUGCGGAAAUACUGAAAAAAUUCAUGUUGUGUGUGUGCCUUCAGGCUGAUGGUUGUAUGCUUCAUACCUUUAUUUCAGUUUCUGUGAUAUACUUGACAUUUUGAAUAUACUAGGCAAUUUUUUUUCAAUACGCUAUUUUGAAUAUAGCACGCUAUAACUUGUAUAGCAUUUGGAGAAGGGCCUCGCUAUUUUUGAUAGCAUGCUAUUUUUUACAUUGUUUAUGACACAUCUAUGGAGUAGCAAUACAUUCAGUUAUAAUCAUUUUGAUACUUCGCCAAAUCCGGUAAACCAUAACAAUGAUACUACCUCAAAAGAAUCCUGCUGGAGAUCAAAGGAAAGGGCACUUCUGCUCCUUUUUAUCUCAAGGUAGUCAGUGUGGGAAUCACUUCCAGGUUGUCUCAUGUUAUCGCUUACAUCACAAGUGUGUCUGAUUUUGCAUAUGGUUAUAGUUACACCUUCAGUUUUGAUUUCAGAGUCCAAGGAUGGUUGCACUCCUGUCAAAUGUUGCAUAUGGCUGUUACAAUUAUGCCUUUAUGCAUCAGGUUACUAAUCCACAUUUCUUUUGUUUUGUGCAGUUGACGUAUUGCAGAUUUUUGCUCAUCUGAUUUGUAUGCUGACAUAACUUAUGGUCGGCAAGCACUGCUGCCCCUCUUUCUGCUCAAAUGUGUUCUCUGUGAGCCAGCUUUGGUUUGAGGACACGACAUCGCCAAAUCGUCACUGAAACACAGCGGCUUCGUCUGGCAACCGCGGACACGAUGGCACAUCGUUGGGUCACCCAAGCUGAGUCGCCGCAGAUCCGAUCAGGUACCCACCCCCCUGUCUGAUCUAUAACAAACACCAAUUUUAGGCUUACCAUAUCAACAGAUACGGAUCGGAUUAAUUUCCUUCCACUUUCCUAUAUGCUUAAUGAUCGUUGAUAAGUAGAGAUCUCGAGGAUGCGGCAGAUUAUGUUUUGAAAAAUGCAUCAGGCAGAGCCCUCAAAGAUAAGGACAAUAAUGCUCAAAGAUUUGUUGUGGGCUCUGCAACCUAUUUAUUUUCUGCUUUUCAAUUAUGUCUUCCGUCAUUUACUUUUAGACUCAUUCUCAUUCUCUAUCUAAAUAUGUAGUGGCAAUGAAAUCAGAUUUGUUCUCGGGGGUUUGUGCUGAUGAAUUUGAUGUCGAGAUUGUCUAUUCUAUUGGCAAAAAGGCCCCCCUUUAGUUCA
Molecule: long non-coding RNA, 2839 nt
Organism: Aegilops tauschii subsp. strangulata
Lineage: Eukaryota; Viridiplantae; Streptophyta; Magnoliopsida; Poales; Poaceae
Source: RefSeq, a predicted model, not a curated record